GGGAUUAGAUACCCCACUAUGCUUAGCCUUAAACCUAGAUGUUAAAUUUACAAGCAACAUCCGCCAGGGUACUACAAGCGCUAGCUUAAAACCCAAAGGACUUGACGGUGUCUCAGACCCACCUAGAGGAGCCUGUUCUAGAACCGAUAAUCCCCGUUAAACCUCACCACCCCUUGUUUUCCCCGCCUAUAUACCGCCGUCGCAAGCUUACCCUGUGAAGGUCUCAUAGUAAGCAAAGUGGGUAAAUCCCAAAACGUCAGGUCGAGGUGUAGCUUACGAGGUGGGAAGAAAUGGGCUACAUUUUCUAUAUCAGAAUAAUACGAACAGCACCAUGAAAUUUGUGCUUGAAGGUGGAUUUAGUAGUAAAAAAUAAAUAGAGAGUCUUUUUGAACCAGGCUCUGAGACGCGCACACACCGCCCC
RNAcentral lists this ribosomal RNA (421 nucleotides) under Ceratobranchia sp. MNHG2731043-15229. Its description in RNAcentral is "partial 12S ribosomal RNA". It matches the Rfam family "Bacterial small subunit ribosomal RNA", at positions 774 to 1396 of the family's 1533-position model. Lineage: Eukaryota; Metazoa; Chordata; Actinopteri; Characiformes; Stevardiidae. The record is from RNAcentral.